CCUACGGGGGGCAGCAGUCGAGAAUCAUUCACAAUGGGGGAAACCCUGAUGGUGCGACGCCGCGUGGGGGAAUGAAGGUCUUCGGAUUGUAAACCCCUGUCAUGUGGGAGCAAAUUAAAAAGAUAGUACCACAAGAGGAAGAGACGGCUAACUCUGUGCCAGCAGCCGCGGUAAUACAGGGGUCUCAAGCGUUGUUCGGAAUCACUGGUCGGAAAGCGUGCGUAGGCUGUUUCGUAAGUCGUGUGUGAAAGGCGCGGGCUCAACCCGCGGACGGCACAUGAUACUGCGAGACUAGAGUAAUGGAGGGGGAACCGGAAUUCUCGGUGUAGCAGUGAAAUGCGUAGAUAUCGAGAGGAACACUCGUGGCGAAGGCGGGUUCCUGGACAUUAACUGACGCUGAGGCACGAAGGCCAGGGGAGCGAAAGGGAUUAGAUACCCUGGUAGUC
This 446-nucleotide ribosomal RNA is filed under the name uncultured bacterium. Its description in RNAcentral is "partial 16S ribosomal RNA". It matches the Rfam family "Bacterial small subunit ribosomal RNA", at positions 338 to 795 of the family's 1533-position model. The record is from RNAcentral.